Molecule: ribosomal RNA, 472 nt
Filed under: uncultured Oxalobacteraceae bacterium
Lineage: Bacteria; Pseudomonadati; Pseudomonadota; Betaproteobacteria; Burkholderiales; Oxalobacteraceae
Description: bacterial SSU rRNA
Rfam family: Bacterial small subunit ribosomal RNA
Source: RNAcentral
AGAGUUUGAUCCUGGCUCAGAUUGAACGCUGGCGGCAUGCUUUACACAUGCAAGUCGAACGGCAGCGCGGGCUUCGGCCUGGCGGCGAGUGGCGAACGGGUGAGUAAUAUAUCGGAACGUACCCAGAAGUGGGGGAUAACGUAGCGAAAGUUACGCUAAUACCGCAUACGAUCUACGGAUGAAAGUGGGGGACCGCAAGGCCUCAUGCUUUUGGAGCGGCCGAUAUCUGAUUAGCUAGUUGGUAGGGUAAUGGCCUACCAAGGCGACGAUCAGUAGCUGGUCUGAGAGGACGACCAGCCACACUGGAACUGAGACACGGUCCAGACUCCUACGGGAGGCAGCAGUGGGGAAUUUUGGACAAUGGGGGCAACCCUGAUCCAGCAAUGCCGCGUGAGUAAAGAAGGCCUUCGGGUUGUAAAGCUCUUUUGUCAGGGAAGAAACGGCUGAGGCUAAUAUCCUCGGCUAAUGACGG